UCCUGGCUUAGGACGAACGCUGGCGGCACGCUUAACACAUGCAAGUCGAACGGAGUCUAUUGAGCUUGCUUGAUAGACUUAGUGGCGGACGGGUGAGUAACACGUGAGCAACCUGCCUUCAAGCGAGGAAUAAUGAGUGGAAACGCUCUGUGAUACCUCAUAGCGUAUUUUUACCGCAUGAUAGGAAUACCAAAGAUUUAUCACUUGAAGAUGGGCUCGCGUCCGAUUAGCUAGUUGGUGAGGUAACGGCUCACCAAGGCGACGAUCGGUAGCCGUACUGAGAGGUAGAUCGGCCACAUUGGGACUGAGACACGGCCCAGACUCCUACGGGAGGCAGCAGUGGGGAAUAUUGCACAAUGGAGGAAACUCUGAUGCAAGCGAUGCCGCGUGAGCGAAGAAGGCCUUUUGGUUGUAAAGCUCUGUUAUCAGGGACGAAAAUGACGGUACCUGAGGAGGAAGCUCCGGCUAACUACGUGCCAGCAGCUGC
Molecule: ribosomal RNA, 487 nt
Filed under: uncultured bacterium
Lineage: Bacteria
Description: bacterial SSU rRNA
Rfam family: Bacterial small subunit ribosomal RNA
Source: RNAcentral